CUCCUUUCUAUGGAGAAUAGAUGAACGUUG
RNAcentral lists this unclassified non-coding RNA (30 nucleotides) under Bacillus cereus. Its description in RNAcentral is "partial miscellaneous RNA". The record is from RNAcentral. Lineage: Bacteria; Bacillati; Bacillota; Bacilli; Caryophanales; Bacillaceae.